Molecule: long non-coding RNA, 3255 nt
Organism: Marmota monax (woodchuck)
Lineage: Eukaryota; Metazoa; Chordata; Mammalia; Rodentia; Sciuridae
Exons: 3
Source: RefSeq, a predicted model, not a curated record
UCAUAAAUAUUUGGCGAAUGAAUGAGCCAUCCUCCUGCCCUGGCCUCCUGAGUUGCCGGGAUUACAGGACUGUGCCAUCUCGGUCACAAACCUGCGAAGGUUUGGCUUUGAAACAAAAGCCCAUGUGGAAAUCUGCUCCCUCUGACUUAGACCACUGGUUUGAGCCUGCUUUUGUCCCACAAGGAAGAUUCGCUGCACGAACGGAUGCCAUAAAUACAAAGCUCUUCAAGUGUGCCCUUCUUUUCUCAGCCCAUUGUGACACAGACUGAUGGUUGUUGGCCUCAAGUUCUCGGUCUUCCCUUCCAGGCUUUCUGGAAACACCACACCUGUCCACACAGAACAUUAACAAGAAGAAUGCUGGCUGCCCCAUGCAGGAUGGAAGAAGGCUGGGGUUCAUGCCAGCUUUCCAGUGCUCCCCACAAACAACAUGAAACUUGGACUGGCUUUGAAAGCCGCCUGGCUAGCGGUGCACCUGCAUGCCUACUUCCCAGCUGAGCCGAGGGGUUGAUGGUCCUGCUGGUCUCCAUGUGCCUGCUCUACUUCACCACCUCUGCAUGCAUAGCAGGUGAUAUCUCUGCAGUGCUGCCCCCAUCCUGAGUCCCCUGCUCUAAGUGCAACCCAGUGCCCAGCCUUGGGAACAUGAGUUGGAGAAAACUGGAAAGUUGCUUGGGCAGCUCUACCUCGCCCUGUGGGUAGAGUUCAUGACAAACAUGGUCAUUGAUGCCCAAGCUUUGCUUCUAGGUAGGGUAGGAUGAACAGAGAUGACAGCUAGUUUUGGUUUCCUUUUCAUGUGUAGGAAACAGGGACGAACAUUCCUUUGGAACCACGUGUCAUUUUGUAGCCUCCUUCUGUAGUUACAAGAAAGCCUUGUGUUUUUUGUAUAUGGCUUUGUUGUGUAACUGGGAUGGGGAGGGGUGAUUUCCUUCUUCACUGAUUCCCUGGGAUGUGGGGAAGGAUAGAAGAGAGACCCCCCUCAGAGGAAAGGGAAGAGAAAUUAGAACUACACUCACAAUACCACAUCCAGGUUCAUAGAAGGGGAUUAAAAAUGUGAGUGAUGCUCAUGAGCUCACCUGUUGGAACAACCCAGCAUGUGUCUCCCUUUUCCUGACUUUUGAUUCCACAUAAAUACUUUUCAAUUCUGCAACAUGGUUUAAGCUAACAGCAAACAAACUGUCAAUCCUAUUCCUUGGCACCUUUGCCCUCAAAUUGGAUAGAAUGGGUAUGUAUGUCCUCCCAAGGACAUACCUCAUUCCAAGGACAACAUGCUAAAGAGAAGCAGUGCUUUGAUAACAGGACAGAGCUAGAAGCAGGCUUCAGGCUCCACGUCCUGACCCAGGCAGGGCAGGCCUGAGUGUUGUCAUAGCCAUCUGUUGCAGCCUGUAAUGCAUGAGCACAUUAGCACAUGGCUCGCCAGCAGCCUCAACAUUGUUCUCCUGGCUCAGCACAGCCACUCAACAAAGGGACAGUUUUGCAAUUGGGAUAAAUACAACCACUGAGGACUUUUUUUUUGUUUAUUUUAGGAUACUUUAUGUUAAGGUUUAUACUUGCUGUUUGAAUUGGACAUUUGUGGCCACCCUCCUACCUACUUCAAUAUUGUUCUUAUUCUGUUUGUGAUGUUGACACGGAUGGUUUGUGGGAGCCACUAAUUUGCCAGGAGACAUCUUUCCUCUUUCAGAUAUGAUCCUCAUCAGAAAGAUUUAUCCAACUGAACAUUUGUCUCUUCAUUUUCUUAAUCUCAAUCCUUUUGCUUCCCAAAAGAUCAGAACAAAUUGUCCAACUAGGAAGCCAUGUCACCUUAAGGUCAGUGUCACAUCCCAAGGUCUACAUCCUUUCUGUGCCCAAAGCCUACCCAGCAGAUGUGGGGGGGAGGCAGCUUUUGUUCCCCAGGGAGAACAUCAUAACUUAAGCUUUAGUAAAUUUGUUGAUCCCUAACAGAAUAUUUCAAAAAAUUCCUUCUUUGCUCCCAGGACCAUUACAAGACCAGCCUCCAAGACUCAGGAGAUUUAAAAAACAGUCUUGGCAGAGAGAACAUAGUUGGAUGAUGCACUUUUCAUGGGAUAAAAUUUUGCCUGAUUUCCUCAUGUAGGAGUUCCAGUGAAGCUUUAUGCCUUCUCUGUUCUUGCUCAGAAGCAAAAACCAUCUGUAUACACCCAUUUAUUCAUUCAAUUAAUAUUUAUUGGGCACCAACUAUGUGCUUGACUCUUCUACAUCACUAAUCAAGAUGGGCAAAGAUCUCUGCCUAAUAGAGCUUAAGUUCUAGUGGGGAAGAGAGUAAUAGUAAUAGGAGUAGUAGUGAUAAUAAUAAUAACAAUAUAAUAAUAAUAAUAUGUCAUAGAAACAAGAAAAGUAGAACAGGGAGGGGAAUGAAAAAUCUCAGGCUAAGUUUGGAGUAUUGAAAAGGAAGACAUGGGGGCUGGGGAUGUGGCUCAAGUGGUAGCGCGCUCGCCUGGCAUGCGUGCAGCCCGGGUUCGAUCCUCAGCACCACAUACAAACAAAGAUGUUGUGUCCACCGAAAAAUAAAUAAAUAAAUAUUUAAAAAAAAAAAAAAAAAAAGAAAAGGAAGACAUGGCUGGGCACAUUGGCACACACUCCCAGCAGCUCUGGAGGCUGAGGCAGGAGAAUUGCAAAUUCAAAGCCAGCCUCAGCAACUAAGGCUCUAAGCAGCUCAGUGAGACCCUGUCUCUAAACAAAAUACAAAAUAUGGCUGGGGAUGUGGCUCAGUGGUCAAGUGCUUCUGAGUUCAGUCUCCAGUUUUAAAAAAAAAAAAAACAUGAAAAAGGAGAAGCGGCAGUUAUGAUCUCAAUUGACUGAGCUUUGUAUUCCAAGAAGAAAUGUUAUCCCUCAAGAUAAUGGGUGCCUUCCCUAUGUUAAAGUUCCCUUCCCAAGUUCAAUUUCAAGUGGAAAAGUUCACUUCAUUGGCUCCUUUCAAUCAGGGUAACUCUUAAAUGCUAAGAAAGAGCAAGUUUCUUAGGUGUGUUUCUUGUGUCCAAAGCUGAGCUCAGAAUAGGCCUGUAUAUUUGCCAUUAAGGAGUCUCUUGCCACCUCCUAUUAAGUGUGUGUUGAAUAAAGUUCUGAGAAGAUGAAUUAUAGAAAUCAGGAUAUCUGUUUCUGCACCACUUACUGUCCCUUGGAUUUAUGUCAAGUCUUCAUGAUCAAGUUUAAAUUUUAAUGUCCACUUCUCAAAAUGUGACUUGGGCUAAGGGUACGGGUCAGUAAUAGAACACUUGCCUAGCAUGUGCAAGGCCCUGUGUAUGA